Molecule: ribosomal RNA, 296 nt
Filed under: Proteus mirabilis
Lineage: Bacteria; Pseudomonadati; Pseudomonadota; Gammaproteobacteria; Enterobacterales; Morganellaceae
Description: partial 23S ribosomal RNA
Rfam family: Bacterial large subunit ribosomal RNA
Source: RNAcentral
AGAACUCGGGUGAAGGAACUAGGCAAAAUGGUGCCGUAACUUCGGGAGAAGGCACGCUGGCGGUAGGUAAAGUCCCUUGCGGACGGCGCUGAAGCCAGUCGAAGAUACCAGCUGGCUGCAACUGUUUAUUAAAAACACAGCACUGUGCAAACACGAAAGUGGACGUAUACGGUGUGACGCCUGCCCGGUGCUGGAAGGUUAAUUGAUGGGGUCAGCCGCAAGGCGAAGCUCCUGAUCGAAGCCCCAGUAAACGGCGGCCGUAACUAUAACGGUCCUAAGGUAGCGAAAUUCCUUGU